AUGGAGGGCCUUGUCAGCUGCCAAGACCAGUUCGGUCGCAGACACCCCAACCCAGGCGGCACUGAAGGAAUUAAGAAACAGACACAAAGAGCAAAAGGUGGGGCAUCGGGGGCUUCAGCCUUCCCAGCUGAGAGCCAUGAACAGAGUUUGACCCACAUAUUUAUUGACAGCAAGCAAGUGAUAAUCAUCAUUGCUGCAGUUUAUAGAUUAACUAAAAUCAUUCUUCACAGGAACAAAGCAUUCUUUCCUAGUGGCGAUAAACAGGCUCUGAUGCAUAUGUCUACUGCAACUGGAACACAUUUUCAGGGCACCAGUUCCGGAAUGCCUUUAACUGGUCUUCCACCCAGGAAGGGUCAGGUAUUUCUUUCCCUCGCUCCAGUAAACCAACUACCUCCAGCAAUGUGCGUCACUGCCAUCAUAACUCUCCCCGUGACACACGCUCACACCGGGCUCGAGGUGGCGGUGGCGGCUGCGGCGGCAGCGGCUGGGACUCCGACCCCUGGGUUGAGGAUGCGUUCUCCGUGGGGGCGUUGGAACUGCCGGCGGGGACCGCUGGGAAGGCGGGGACGAGGAUGAGAACGUCAAAGCUAACUGGGAUGACGAUGAUGAUUCAAAAAAAAAAACGGAGGAAGGAAAACCAGAGGUAAAAAUUUCAGAAAAGAAAAAAAUAGCAGAGAAGAUAAAAGAUAAAAGAGAAAGAACAGCAACAGAAGAAAAGGCAAGAAGAAAUUAAAAAGAAGUUACAAGAACCUGAAGAACCUGAAGUGCUAACACAAGAAGAACAAUUAGCAGAUAAACUGCGGCUAAAGAAAUUACAGGAAGAGUCCGACCUCGAAUUAGCAAAGGCGUUAAUAAUAGAAACUGAUGAUUUGAAAAAGAUUACCAAUUCACUGACUGUGCUUUGCAGUGAAAAACAGAAGCAAGAAAAGCAAAGCCAAGCCAAUAAGAAGAAAGGUGCGGUUUCUGGAGGGGGGUUAAAAGCCACCAUGAAAGAUGAUCUGGCAGAUUAUGGUGGUUACAAUGGAGGAUAUGUACAAGACUAUGAAGACUUCAUGUGACAUUUUUAUCUUCUCCUGGUGUCAUCUUUAUGUUGCCCACAAUCCCUUGAACACGUAGCACAACAUCCUUUCUUUUCAGUUCUGCCAAAUGCUACAAUCAGAAGUGCAGUGUCUUUUGUGCUUAUUUAACCCCUUGACACUUUGGUGCUAAUGUGCAAAUAAGGGAACUUGGACCUUGCUGCCAAGGGGUUAAAAUUGGGAACCUCAGUUGCUACUAAAUCAUAGUUCAAAACAAACCUCAUAAUGUUGUCAUUGUUGCUAUCUGAUUUCAUAGCAGCAGUCACUAAAUUGGAAAAAUGUUGCAACAUGACAGAAAAAAAAAAUGUGUAGUAUUUACCAGCACCAUUCAGUAAUACAGCCUUAACCAUACCUCCUUGAACUACUUCAUAACUUGUCAAGAAAGGCAGUUUGCAGCAAGGGCAUGUGGUGUGCACCUAGUAGUAAAAUUGCUUUGUCUUAAAAUUGAACAUAAGGAUAUUAAAAAUACAUUGUGAAGAAGACUGCUUAUCUCUGAGUGAAGAUACUGCGGCUGAAAAGCAUUAGUUUGAUAUAAAAUUUAAAUGACCAAAACCCUCCAACUUUGAAGCUAAAAAAGGUAAACCUCUCCAUUAUUGCAUUACAUGUUGUGGAAUCUCUUGAGUGCAAAGACUGUCUAGUUAUUUAUCAGGCUAUUUCUACUGAUGAAGUGCUUCAGAUGGGAGAGGGAAACUCUUUACCUGUUUUUAUUUGCCUGAUUUAAAUGUCUGAGAAACAAAUCUUCGUUCUCUUAGGCUGCAAUGGAACAACUUUACCAGGGUUUUGGCAUUUCCUUUCCUUUAUAAAACAUGCUUAGCAAACUGUACCAGUUAACUACAGUUUGGUAAAUUGUUAACAAUUAUGACAUCUGCAGUGUUUUAUAAAGCAGCUAAUUUAAUAAAAUCACUAUUGUGAGG
Cebus imitator (Panamanian white-faced capuchin) is the source of this 1990-nucleotide RNA transcript. It is a transcript of the gene named eukaryotic translation initiation factor 3 subunit J-like, with no coding region annotated. The transcript has 4 exons. The record is from RefSeq and is a predicted model, not a curated record. Lineage: Eukaryota; Metazoa; Chordata; Mammalia; Primates; Cebidae.